RNAcentral lists this ribosomal RNA (495 nucleotides) under uncultured bacterium. RNAcentral describes it as "bacterial SSU rRNA". It matches the Rfam family "Bacterial small subunit ribosomal RNA", at positions 17 to 518 of the family's 1533-position model. The record is from RNAcentral.
UUCUGGCUCAGGAUGAACGCUGGCGGCGCGCCUAACACAUGCAAGUCGAACGGUUAAAGCGACCUUCGGGUGUGUAUAAAGUGGCGAACGGCUGAGUAACACGUGGGCAACCUGCCCCUCGCACCGGGACAGCCUCGGGAAACCGUGGUUAAUACCGGAUACGCCCCCCUUGAGGACAUCCGUCUCGGGGGGAAAGCCCCGACGGCGAGGGAUGGGCCCGCGGCCUGUUAGCUAGUUGGUGGGGUAACGGCCCACCAAGGCCACUAUGGGUAGCUGGGUUGAGAGACCGACCAGCCAGAUUGGGACUGAGACACGGCCCAGACUCCUACGGGAGGCAGCAGUGGGGAAUCUUGCACAAUGGGCGAAAGCCUGAUGCAAGCGACGCCGCGUGCGGGAUGAAGGCCUUCGGGUUGUAAACCGCUUUCAGCAGGGACGAGGCCGCGAGGUGACGGUACCUGCAGAAGAAGCCCCGGCUAACUACGUGCCAGCCGCCGC